AAUUCGUGGCAGUCCUGUUCGAAGACGUUCUCCCCUUCCGCCAAGGCGACGGUUAGUGUUUUAAUUGCAUAAACUUGAAUAGUUGAAAUAAGUGAUGAAAAAAUAUCUUCUCCCUCACUCCAUAUCUAGAAAGUCCCUUUAAAGAUUUGCAUAAAUGAUGAUAAACAUGAUGCUACAUGCUUCAAUGCAGUUCUUUAAAUUGUUAAACCUUAGUUACUUGUAAAAAAAUUCGUAAACCUGUGUGGCAUCGUAGAUAUGCGUGACGUAUUUAAAAUGAUGUCGAAUAGUUGAUUCUGCCAUCAGUAGCUGUCAAACUAGUGUUUUCCCAUUAUGAUUGGCAGUUGCCUUUCUUGUUUGUAGUAGUAGUAGUACUUGUUAUAUUAAAAAUAUAGUGAAUUGUAGCAUGAACUAUGUAAUGCAGAUUUGUGCUGUGUUAACUAAUGUUGAUAACUGAAAGUGUGGUAGCUCAUGGUACCUUUGUGUUUGUUUGUAGUUCUCCACCGCGACGUGCUAGAAGUCCACCCAGAAGAUCUCCGGUUGGUCGCCGGUCUAGCCGCUCACCUAUUAGGAGACCUAUCCGUUCACGAUCAAGAUCCAUCUCUCCUAGGCGGUAAUGCAUAAAUUUUUAUCAUCUUUAUCACUAAAAUUUCUAGUAUCGACUAUCGAGUUAUAGCAAUUCUUUUCUAGUGUCUUUGGAUAGGUGGCCUGCUGCUAUACUUGCGGUCUGUAGUUUCUCUCUUUAUGUCCACCUUCCUCAUGUUAAAAUUAAUAUCCUUUGGCACUUUCUAUGUGGCAUGUUCUGACGCCUUUUUUUUUUUUUUUUGCUCUUGGAUGUAUCUAAACUCCAUCACAAUAUUGUC
RNAcentral lists this long non-coding RNA (860 nucleotides) under Nicotiana tabacum (common tobacco). Its description in RNAcentral is "long non-coding RNA (NTAB_LNC012380)". Lineage: Eukaryota; Viridiplantae; Streptophyta; Magnoliopsida; Solanales; Solanaceae. The record is from RNAcentral.